This is a long non-coding RNA of Struthio camelus australis, 562 nucleotides long. The record is from Ensembl. Lineage: Eukaryota; Metazoa; Chordata; Aves; Struthioniformes; Struthionidae.
AACAUUUGCACAGUCAGGGUGGUACCAAUUCAGAAAAAUACUCCUGCCAAGGAGUAAGAGAAAGUGGAAAUGGAGAGAAGCCCUUCUUCCUCUCUACAGUCAAAAAGAAAGGGCAACCUUAAUUUGUGACCAAAUUUUCCUUGCUUUAUGUGGUUUUGUGUUAGAUUAGCUUUGCUGUGGCACUUAUCUGUUGUGGAAAAGCAGGGUGCUACUUUUCACUCCCUGCCAUAGUUUCCUGCUCCUUUUCCUGCAGUUAGCCAGUUUGGAGAACCAAAGCAGAAAAAAGCAAACGCUCAAGAAAAGUGACUCAUUUUCUGCCACUCUCAAGCCCUGCUCCAGCUCUGGGAAGGGUCAGCAGGUUGUGUCCUGGGGAAGAUGGAGGGCAGCAAAACCAACCAUUCGGGCAGCAGUUCUCCAUAAGAGCACCCUUAGCAGAUCUUUUUCCUGGAAGAAAAUUUGGAGCCUUUCUCAGCGUUUUCCUGAUCCAAAACCAAAACUGAAAAUUGUGUCCGGCAUAGAAAAGGAUGGGGUACGUUCUUCUGUUUUUUCCAAACCAAUGUAA